Molecule: ribosomal RNA, 429 nt
Filed under: uncultured archaeon
Lineage: Archaea
Description: bacterial SSU rRNA
Rfam family: Archaeal small subunit ribosomal RNA
Source: RNAcentral
CACCAGCCCCUCGAGUGGUGGGGAUGAUUAUUUGGCCUAAAGCGUCCGUAGCCGGCCGGGUAAGUUUCCCGUUAAAUCCAACGUCUCAAGCGUUGGACUGCGGGAAGUACUGCCUGGCUAGAGAGUGGGAGAGGUCAGCGGUAUUCUGGGGGUAGGGGCGAAAUCCUUUGAUCCCCGGAGGACCACCAGUGGCGAAGGCUGCUGACUAGAACACGUCUGACGGUCAGGGACGAAAGCUGGGGUAGCGAACCGGAUUAGAUACCCGGGUAGUCCCAGCCGUAAACGAUGCAUGCUAGGUGUUGGGUUGGCCACGAGCCACCCCAGUGCCGCAGGGAAGCCGUUAAGCAUGCCGCCUGGGAAGUACGAUCGCAAGAUUGAAACUUAAAGGAAUUGGCGGGGGAGCACCACCUGGCGUGAAGCCUGCGGUUU